UAGGUAGCGCCUCGUGAAUUCAUCUCCGGGGGUAGAGCACUGUUUCGGCUAGGGGGCCAUCCCGGCUUACCAACCCGAUGCAAACUGCGAAUACCGGAGAAUGUUAUCACGGGAGACACACGGCGGGUGCUAACGUCCGUCGUGAAGAGGGAAACAACCCAGACCGCCAGCUAAGGUCCCAAAGUCAUGGUUAAGUGGGAAACGAUGUGGGAAGGCCCAGACAGCCAGGAUGUUGGCUUAGAAGCAGCCAUCAUUUAAAGAAAGCGUAAUAGCUCACUGGUCGAGUCGGCCUGCGCGGAAGAUGUAACGGGGCUAAACCAUGCACCGAAGCUGCGGCAGCGACACUGUGUGUUGUUGGGUA
This 361-nucleotide ribosomal RNA is filed under the name Salmonella enterica. RNAcentral describes it as "partial 23S ribosomal RNA". It matches the Rfam family "Bacterial large subunit ribosomal RNA", at positions 871 to 1230 of the family's 2925-position model. RNAcentral also lists the same sequence under 1 other name. The record is from RNAcentral. Lineage: Bacteria; Pseudomonadati; Pseudomonadota; Gammaproteobacteria; Enterobacterales; Enterobacteriaceae.